UUGUCUAUUAAUUGUAGACCUGCAUGAAAGGCAAAAUGAGGGCCCAACUGUCUCUUAUAGUAAACCAAUUAAACUGAUCUCCCAGUCAAAAAGCUGGAAUAUUCCCAUAAGACCAGAAGACCCUGUGAAGCUUUAACUAAACUAUUAAACCAUUUAAUAGCUCCUUUAGGUUGGGGUGACCUUGGAAAAAAAAAGAACUUCCAAAUACAAGACCUAUAUAUUACGCCUCACAUAGGCCAACAAGCCUAAUCUAGACCCAGUACUACUGACAACUGAACCAAGUUACUCCAGGGAUAACAGCGCUAUCUUCUUCAAGAGCCCAUAUCAAAAAGAAGGUUUACGACCUCGAUGUUGGAUCAGGACAUCCUAGUGGUGCAGCCGCUAUUAAGGGUU
This 393-nucleotide ribosomal RNA is filed under the name Dendroaspis angusticeps (eastern green mamba). Its description in RNAcentral is "partial 16S ribosomal RNA". It matches the Rfam family "Bacterial large subunit ribosomal RNA", at positions 1969 to 2573 of the family's 2925-position model. The record is from RNAcentral. Lineage: Eukaryota; Metazoa; Chordata; Lepidosauria; Squamata; Elapidae.